Molecule: ribosomal RNA, 457 nt
Filed under: Capnocytophaga granulosa
Lineage: Bacteria; Pseudomonadati; Bacteroidota; Flavobacteriia; Flavobacteriales; Flavobacteriaceae
Description: bacterial SSU rRNA
Rfam family: Bacterial small subunit ribosomal RNA
Source: RNAcentral
GAUGAACGCUAGCGGCAGGCCUAACACAUGCAAGUCGAGGGAGAAGCCCUUCGGGGCGGAAACCGGCGCACGGGUGCGUAACGCGUAUGCAACCUACCUUUCACAGGGGGAUAGCCCGAAGAAAUUUGGAUUAAUACCCCAUAAUAUUAUUGGGUGGCAUCAUUUGAUAAUUAAAAUUACGAUGGUGAAAGAUGGGCAUGCGUCCUAUUAGCUAGUUGGAGUGGUAACGGCACCCCAAGGCUACGAUAGGUAGGGGUCCUGAGAGGGAGAUCCCCCACACUGGUACUGAGACAGGGACCAGACUCCUACGGGAGGCAGCAAUGAGGAAUAUUGGUCAGUGGUCGGAAGACUGAACCAGCCAUGCCGCGUGCAGGAAGAAUGCCUUAUGGGUUGUAAACUGCUUUUAUAUGGGAAGAAUAAGGUGUACGUGUACAUUGAUGACGUACCAUAUGACAGC